GACGAACGCUGGCGGCGUGCUUAACACAUGCAAGUCGAACGGAAAGGCCCUGCUUUUUUGGGGUGCUCGAGUGGCGAACGGGUGAGUAACACGUGAGUAACCUGCCCUUGACUUUGGGAUAACUUCAGGAAACUGGGGCUAAUACCGGAUAGGAGCUCCUGCUGCAUGGUGGGGGUUGGAAAGUUUCGGCGGUUGGGGAUGGACUCGCGGCUUAUCAGCUUGUUGGUGGGGUAGUGGCUUACCAAGACUUUGACGGGCUGCCGGCCUGAGAGGGUGACCGGGCACAUUGGGAAUGAGAUACCGCCCAGACUGCUACGGGAGGCAGAGGUGGGGAAUAUUGCACAAUGGGCGGAAGCCUGAUGCAGCAACGCCGCGUGCGGGAUGACGGCGUUCGGGUUGUAAACAGCUUUCGCCUGUGACGAAGCGUGAGUGACGGUAAUGGGUAAAGAAGCACCGGCUAACUACGUG
Molecule: ribosomal RNA, 468 nt
Filed under: uncultured bacterium
Lineage: Bacteria
Description: partial 16S ribosomal RNA
Rfam family: Bacterial small subunit ribosomal RNA
Source: RNAcentral